Spea bombifrons (plains spadefoot toad) is the source of this 327-nucleotide long non-coding RNA. RefSeq lists it as uncharacterized. The record is from RefSeq and is a predicted model, not a curated record. The transcript has 3 exons. NCBI's taxonomy places the organism in Eukaryota, Metazoa, Chordata, Amphibia, Anura, Pelobatidae.
UGACAAAGAAGUGUGGGGGAAAAACAUUGUUUUUAUUGUUGUAGCUUAGCCCAUCCAGAUGUGUGACAGAGCCUGUCCUGGUGUGACCCUGACAGUGUGUUUGGGUGUCGAUGUGGAAGAGCCUGUCCUGGUGUGUGUGUGUUUGGGUGUCAAUGUCCUGGUGUGUGUGUUUGGGUGUUGGUGUGGCAGAGCCUGUCCUGAUGUGUGUCCCCAUGUGGAAGAGCCUGUCCUGGUGUGUGUGCUUGGGUGCUGGUGUGGCAGAGCCUGUCCUGGUGUGUUUGUCGGUGUGGCAGAACAUGUCCUGGUGUGUGUGUCGGGGUGGCAGAG